CAAAAUCGUGUACAAUCAACAACAACAUCAAUCAACGGCUUCAACCCGAAUCCAACCCAGCAAAGCUGACCCAACAUCUAAUUCUGACCCGACCCUGAUACCUACAUCAACGAUAACACCAACAACUUAAUCCGGCACCCUGAAACCCGGCGAUCCGCCGACCCGAACCCGCGAUAAACACAACAUUAUCCAUCAACAACCAAGGGAGUCCUAAAGUGUCAUUUGCGUGUGAUUGAUGAGCCAUCCGCUUCUAGAAGAGUUUAGAAACUGUCCAGCUGUCUCUUUUAAUGGUAUAAUAUCUCACCAUCAUCCGAUUCAUACAGAGGUAGAAGGUGGAUAUUAAUUCUAUUUUGAAAUUUUGAAAUCCUCUCCUGGAAUUUCUAUCUGAUUUUUCCAUCCCACAUCGAAAGGAAAAAGGGCUGGACUCUAAAGUUUUUCCUAUAUAUACUCUUACUAUUUUCGUUGAAAGGGGAAAAAGGGGAAAAACCCUUUGAGCAAAAAUCAGUAAAUUUUUAUUUUAGUAAAAUUUUAGAAGCCGUCGAUUUGAUCGGAAUUCUCGAAGGACCUAUUUUCGGUGGUGGUGUCUCCCGACGUUAGCUUGAGGUCCUGUUUUGCUGCCCCGAAGAAGGUAAACUUCUUUCUACACAUUCUUUAUGACGUUCUUUUUUUCAUCUCUUUCUCCGUAUUGAUAGGCGUAUAGUCGUAAUCAAAGUGGCUGUGGGACUGUUUGCUGUAGUUGGCUUCGAUGGCCGUAGGAUUUGUCUGAAGUGUUUGGCGUUAUGUCAUUUGAUGAGCCAUUAUUUUACAUUUUUGUUUUCAUUACUACUUUUGUAAUCUUUGGUUUGAUGGCAAUAGUACUCCGAUCAUGGAUACCUUUUAAAUAAGUUUACAAUAUGCUUAUGUAGUAUCUACAUUGCAACUCAUCAUAUGCUCUUUGGUAUCAAACAUGUUAUUUACACUUAAGUGCAAACAAAGUACUUAAGUGCAAACAAAGUUUACAUCAAGACAUUUCUUGCUUAAUAUGUUGUUCGACUAUCUGAAUGCACCUUUGUUCUUCUUAUUAGCCUUUUCUACAUUUUUCUUUUCCAGCGACCGAGCAUGAUUAAGCUCGUUCUAUGCUUUCUUUCCUUUAAAUGGUUGUAGGUUACGUAUUUUAUUUUCUUAUUCCUUGACCAUGUGGGGUUUUCCGAAUGGACUUCCCUUCCUUUGCAUUUCUAAGAGGACAAUGAGGCGCCUCUUUUCGAGUCAAACUUUGAGGGAAAAGUUUUUAAAAGUUGACCAUGUGGCAUACCGAAUGCAAUGCAAGGAGUCGAAAGAAGAAGAAAUGGACUAAAGUCUCAUCCUUGAAGCAGCUAAGAUACUUGAAAGUCCUAUUUCUUCAUUUAUUCAUUUGUAUUAUUGUCUUUAUUUAUUUAUUUCAUUGUUUAUUCAUUUGGGCCUCGAAACCAAAGUUGUAAAUUUAAUACAGGUGGAGCAGAUUUUGGGUCAAUGGGCCUGAAAAAAUAGUUUAGACAGGUUAUGGGCUAAGGCCCAACAUUUAGAUUACGACAGGUGCAAGUGGGUCAAAAACUUAAUUAGAUUAAGAUAGGGUCUAUUGAUUUGGGCCCAAUGGUCUAAGUCCUUUAUUUCCUCCCCUUCCCCUUUUACAUGCUUUGUUAUUAAUUUAUUUAGACUUAGUUAAAAUUUCUACUAAGUCGUCCAAAUUUAUUUUACAUAAGCCUUUUCCUAAAAUCAAUCACUUAUCAACAAUCAAUUUUUUUGAAGUUAGUCAAAAGAUAUUUUCAAACAGUUCGGAUAACUGUAAGUUAGCGGACGUUUUAGGUGCCUUAAAACCUUCCUAAAAUGUUAAUGGGAACUGCUUACCUAGAAUUUCUAACUUAAAUGAUUUUUCUAUUUUGAACCACCUAAAUACUUUACAAAGAUUUUCUCAAUCUCAAAAGUCAAAAUUUUUGUAAAACAGAAAUGACGACUUUGUUGGGGAUUCUAAUUAAGUUUUAACCAAAUGUUUGACUUUAUCUUUGAUUAACUGUUUAAAUUGCUUACAUGUUUAUAUGUUUUGAUUUUGCAGAAUUUAAUUAUUGCAUCUCAUACAUAGCAUAAUCUCACAUUUGUUAUUAAUUUAUUUUGGGGUUUCAUAGAUGUCUCGAUCCUUGUUGUUCAACUUCAAAUGAAGUGGUAGAAAUACGAUGAUUUAUUAGCACGUGAGGCGUCUGAUGGAUAUUUGUAUUUUCAAAUUCAAGUCGUUCGCUUGGGAACCUGGUUCAAAUUCACUCUAGAUACCUAGGAUAACGCAAAACCAAAAUCUUAUAUUAGGCAUGAGCCUAGGACGACCCAAUACCCGAGGGGGUAUUGCGCCCAUUAGAAAACUUGUCCUGUGUCAAUCGACCUUGAGUCAAUUACAGACGAAUUAUAUUUAUAUAUUGAAGAAAUAUAUGCUAUUUAAUCCAAUCCAUUAUCCUUCGGGGGUAGGGCGAUGGCCGAUAGAAGAGCAUUCAGGAACUGGUAUUUCCUAUCCCUUGCAUGGGAUAUUGUUCUUUUUCUCAUGUUAUUUUUCCUUUCCCUAAAAAUUGUAUUUUUUUUUUUGCAACGUUUGUAGGUAUUUAUGUCAUUUAUGUAUACCUAUAAAGGUUUUUUUGGGGAUAAUGGAUUGGUUUUAAAAAGAAUAUACUUCCUUCAAAUAUGUUAGGCCAACCUUUGGCUCAAAAGGGUCACCCAAUUAGGAUGCACGUUUAUUUUCCAUAGAACAUCUCUAGGUGGAAUUAUACUCCACUAUACAAAAGUCCGGCCAAACAUACUUCAAGUCUUCCAAGUUUCUCAGAAAAGUCCGCAGUGAUUCUUAAAACUUACAAAAUGAUUGCUCUCAUUUUAGGAAAACUGACUUUGGAAUCAGAAAAAGUCAUUAUAGUUUCGAAUUACGUAGGGCUUGCUUUCUCCUUUGUGAGAUACGUAGGCAAUCUUUUGGCCCGACCUAUGUCUUUAAAAAUUUUGUCGUCAUUCAUUUUUUUGAAAGAAGUAAUAAGGUCGAAAAGUAGAAAAGUUGAGCCUUCUUGAUAAAUUCCAUCUAUCCAUAUCAUUGAGUAAAAUCUUAUUCAUUGAAAUUCUCGAGUCAGUAUUACUUCAUGGAUCAAUUCGCUUGAGAUGAGAAACAACUCUAUGUGUUUACUUUCGACCUUAUCAUCUUACUUUGCUUAUUACUAAUGAAAUCUAACACGAUAGCCUUUGAAUUAUUUUUACUUUGCAGCUAAUAGAAAUUACUCUGUGUUGGCACAAAAUGGUCCUGCUUCAACAGAUCAAAAUGAAAGAGAUCCCCUUCUUGACUAUAGCUUUGUUACAAGAAAAGAAAAAUGACUAGUAGUAAAAUUGGACUCUACCAAUCAUUUUUCAAAACCUGUAAGCGAUGGUCUUGAAAAUGGAAUAAAAAAAAUGUGAGGAAAGAAUUUUUCAAGACAACUGAGAUCAUGGAAGAUUAAUUAGAGGAAAUAUUGUUGAAUUGAACCUCCACUCCACUCAUGAUUCAUCACACGUCUUGUAACAGUAACUUAAAACCUGCCAUUGUCAUGUCAUAACAAGAAGCAAGAUAAUGAUAACCCUAAAAUGGUCAACAGAAGAGUCAAAAGAGUUCGAGAAUCAAAGAAGCCUAAUUUAGAGAAAAUCGAGGUGGUUAACUAGGAAGACGAUGACUAAAGGAAUUGGACAUUUGAUCCUUCGUUCUAUCAAAACAAAUGCAAUGAAAAUGUCAUGUCAUCCAUAGAAGUGCUUAUUUCUAUCCUAGUAAGAUGGAUAAGAGUAUUUAGGGCUCUAUUUUGUGAAAAUUUUGACUUUGGAGAGUCGUCAUUGAAUUUUGAAAAGGAAUUAAGAAAACUUUUAUAAAGUACUUAGAUGAUUCGACACAAGAAAAUUAUUUAAGUUAGAGAUUCUAGGUAAGUGGUUCCUAUUAACAUUUUAGAAAGGUUUUAAGGCACCUAAAAUGUCCGCUAACUCACGGUUGUCCGA
Molecule: long non-coding RNA, 3993 nt
Filed under: Capsicum annuum
Lineage: Eukaryota; Viridiplantae; Streptophyta; Magnoliopsida; Solanales; Solanaceae
Description: long non-coding RNA (CANN_LNC009781)
Source: RNAcentral